UCUAAGCCUUGGGCUCUCUGUUCUCUGGUUUAGUUAUCUCUUUUGGUUGAUUGAGCUUUACUUUUCAUCUCUACUUAUCUGGAAUUCUGGAUCUCCUUCAGGCAGAUUACAUGGAAAGAGAUGCACUUGAUGCACUAGGAUGGGUCUGAUACUGUUGGUGGAUGCUCAUGACCCAUGUUGGCCUUAUAGAGAAGAUCUACUAAAACUACAACUCUCUCUCUCUCUCUCUCUCUCUCUCUCUCUCUCUCUCUCUGACUUUUGUUUGUUCGCUAUGUACUUCGUUUAAUGAACAUUAUUCUGUUUACAGCAUUGGACAAAACUGAGGCCAGUUGAGAGAGUGGAUGGCUAAGCCCAUGGGGGUAGCGGAGUUAGUAAGGGACUUUGUCCUCAGGAACGUGUGAUUUUGAGCUCGAUUCUUAUUUUCUUGGGACUGCU
Molecule: long non-coding RNA, 435 nt
Organism: Macadamia integrifolia
Lineage: Eukaryota; Viridiplantae; Streptophyta; Magnoliopsida; Proteales; Proteaceae
Exons: 2
Source: RefSeq, a predicted model, not a curated record